This 427-nucleotide ribosomal RNA is filed under the name uncultured bacterium. Its description in RNAcentral is "partial 16S ribosomal RNA". It matches the Rfam family "Bacterial small subunit ribosomal RNA", at positions 355 to 774 of the family's 1533-position model. The record is from RNAcentral.
UGGGGAAUAUUGCACAAUGGGCGCAAGCCUGAUGCAGCCAUGCCGCGUGUGUGAAGAAGGCCUUCGGGUUGUAAAGCACUUUCAGCGAGGAGGAAGGGUAGUGUGUUAAUAGCACAUUGCAUUGACGUUACUCGCAGAAGAAGCACCGGCUAACUCCGUGCCAGCAGCCGCGGUAAUACGGAGGGUGCAAGUGUUAAUCGGAAUUACUGGGCGUAAAGCGCACGCAGGCGGUUUGUUAAGUCAGAUGUGAAAUCCCCGCGCUUAACGUGGGAACUGCAUUUGAAACUGGCAAGCUAGAGUCUUGUAGAGGGGGGUAGAAUUCCAGGUGUAGCGGUGAAAUGCGUAGAGAUCUGGAGGAAUACCGGUGGCGAAGGCGGCCCCCUGGACAAAGACUGACGCUCAGGUGCGAAAGCGUGGGGAGCAAACA